UCAGGUAGGGAUACCCGCUGAACUUAAGCAUAUCAAUAAGCGGGAGGAAAGG
This 52-nucleotide ribosomal RNA is filed under the name Sclerotinia nivalis. RNAcentral describes it as "partial 28S ribosomal RNA". Lineage: Eukaryota; Fungi; Ascomycota; Leotiomycetes; Helotiales; Sclerotiniaceae. The record is from RNAcentral.